Long non-coding RNA from Heterocephalus glaber (naked mole-rat), 883 nucleotides. RefSeq lists it as uncharacterized. NCBI's taxonomy places the organism in Eukaryota, Metazoa, Chordata, Mammalia, Rodentia, Bathyergidae. The record is from RefSeq and is a predicted model, not a curated record.
CGCGGCCAGAGGCCGGGCGGGACCCGGGAAGUCGCUGUGUCAGUUUUCUCCUCUGUGAAAUGGGAUGAAGCGAUUAGGCGGGGAGGGGGAGAAGGAGGAGCGCUACCCAAGCCUGUGCCGGCCCAGGAGACCGCAGGGACGGCCCGAGCGUCCACCAUCCCCGCUCCACGGUUUCUCCCCAGCCGCGCCUCCUGCGCCCCGCGGGACUCAGCGCACCACUCCGGAAGGUGAAGGAACUGAGGCUCAGAGAAGUUAAAUAACUAGCCCACGAUCAUUCAGCAAGGAAGACCUAGACUGGCUACCAAGUCUACCUAGGGCCAAAGCUUUGUUUACUAUUACUAUGUUUCCUUUUUGUUUUGUUGUUUUUUUGAGACUGGGUCUUGACAAUGUAGUUCACGUGGCCUUGAAUCAUUAUGUAGCCCAGGAAAGCCUUGAACUCACAGUGAUCCUCCUGCCUUAGCCGCCUCAGUGCUAGGAUUACAGGCCUGUACCCCUAAGCAUGGCUUCUAUUUCUGUUUCUGGCCAGACAGGUUGUGAUCCAGGAAAACCCAGGUUUCUUAUGGCUGAUUCUAAAAACUCAAUGAGAAGCCAUUUCAUCAGUCACCAAAUAAUUCUGGCAGGGCAGCUGGGCCAAGGCAGAAGCAAGAAAUAGCCGGAAAUACAGCUGGAACUCAGCCUUCCCUGAAGCCUUUCUGGUCAGCUCAUGUGGCAGUGCACCAUCAGCAUCAAACUCCUUGAACUUCCUCAAGCUUCUCUGCUGUAGGACGAGGAUCAUAUCUGUCUCUGACUGCACCUGACACCAGACCUAGAGUCCAGACAUCAGCUGACCCUUGUCACAGGUUCACUGUGCAACCCAAGGAACAAGCUACUUGCCUUUCUUGAA